CAUAAAUGACGGAAUUGGUAAACGUAGAGUCUGACAAUAGCGAAAGCGACGAUAGGACUUCGGGAGUAGCCGUGAGGUUCCCUUGUAGGUUCGAAUCCUGCUUUAUGCAC
RNAcentral lists this transfer RNA (110 nucleotides) under Pectobacterium phage vB_PcaM_CBB. Its description in RNAcentral is "Pectinobacterium phage vB_PcaM_CBB tRNA-Val". It matches the Rfam family "tRNA". Rfam says of the family: Transfer RNA (tRNA) molecules are approximately 80 nucleotides in length. Their secondary structure includes four short double-helical elements and three loops (D, anti-codon, and T loops). The record is from RNAcentral. Lineage: Duplodnaviria; Heunggongvirae; Uroviricota; Caudoviricetes.